CCGUUUCAUAUUAAUAAAGUUAAUGACAUGAAUUAAAGACAUAAUCAUGAAAUCCAUAAAUAUAAUGUAAAGUGUAUGGAUAAAUACAAUGUAAAGUGUGUAGAAAAAUUCAUAGUGCUCGAUAAGAAUAUCCAUAAACAAGAAGGAAGCUAUAAAUCAUCCAAAUGAUCAUCAGCAGCGGCAUCUCUUGUAGGUGGAUCCUACUCCAUUGGCUGUGAGGGUUGUGAGAAUCGAGACUGCAUCUGCCUCAUCAUCUCUUGCAUCUGUCUUAGUUGGUCUUACAUAAGGCGCUCACGCUGCUCCUCCCUCUCUUGCAUCAUGUGCUCACCGUCCUUGUCUCUCUGCUAUAAGAUCUCAACUGUCUAUCGUAGUUGACAUAGCUCCUCUUUAACAGCCGGUGCUGGCAUGUGGGAUGUAGUAAAAGAUGAUGCACCAGCUUAUUGGGGGUAGAAAAUAGAUGCCUGUAAUCUAACUCCAUAAACCCGUCAUUUCUUCUCACCUCCAACAACCUUGAUGGAUUGUGCCCGUGCAUCAACGAGCUCUGAAGUGCCCUUCCUCGUAUGGAUUGUCUCGAAAAGCUUGUGGGGGAGAGGAUCUCGGCUGAGCUUACCUCACUGAAAAAUACAUCAAAUUGAAUAAUGUAAGUAGGACCUAUAUGAAAUUUCUAUUGAUCUACAUAUAGGUGCAAUACAUAUAGAAAUACAGAGAUUUAUACUGGCCAAUCUCUCUGCGUGUUACACAUGGGAAAUUGAGCCCCCCGUGUGGUGAGAUAUGUCAGAUUCGGGUCCUCUAGUCUUACAACGGUGAUUUGCUAUGAAUUGCUCACUACGAGCUUUGAAGUCAGGUGUACGCCAGGUCUCUUUCCACUUACACCAUGCUGCAUCAGGCACGAAAAGGGCUUCUAUGCCAACUUCCUUUAAUGGCACAUAAAUGCUUAGCAGCCUUGUUCUCCCAAGCAAUCUUCACAAGGGAUGUCAUUAUCUCAUCCCAAGUGAAGUUUUUCUGAAACUCGGUCUAGUGAAAGUCUUUCAUCUCAUUCGAGAUAGUUUUCCAACAAUAGUCUUCCACGUCCAACUUUUCCUUGAUGAUGGACAUGAUUUUCCUUAAACAAAUGUAAGAAAGAUGCAACUGCUUGUGACUCUGAAACCCACUGGCUCGAGUCAACUGGUUAAGGCUGUUAUAUCUUCGACUGUCUCUAACCCUAAAAUAGAGAAAGGGCAAGCCUGAAUGAGCGUGAGAGAGAAAGAAAAAAAAUACCCAAAAGUGUGAUUGACCUUUAGAAUAGCUCCAAAGUGAAUUUGGGUGACUGAGGGACUUUGCGCCGAUGUUCAGAGAAAGGGACUUUAGAAUAGUUUGAGAAAGAGAGCAAGAGAAAGAGACAGAGCAAGAGUGACUGAGGAAGGUGUGAGGGAAAAUGAAUUCGAGUGGAAGAGGAAAAUGAAUUAGGGUUUCAAGACAGAGAAAGAAGGAAGAACAAAAUCACAGAAUAGAAACGGACACUUAAAUCUAUUUCAAAAAAAUGAAAUGGAAUAACUCUCUGUUUCUAACGUUAGAGAAACUCAACUAAUUACAAACGAAAAAAAAUACUCCGUUUCAAAGUUUUAAAACGGAGCACUAUUUCGUUUCUAAUCAUCUUCGAUACAAUAUGAACAAUACUUCUUGUAUA
This 1666-nucleotide unclassified non-coding RNA is filed under the name Hevea brasiliensis (rubber tree). Lineage: Eukaryota; Viridiplantae; Streptophyta; Magnoliopsida; Malpighiales; Euphorbiaceae. The record is from RNAcentral.